RNAcentral lists this ribosomal RNA (434 nucleotides) under uncultured Acidobacteriota bacterium. RNAcentral's name for it is "bacterial SSU rRNA". It matches the Rfam family "Bacterial small subunit ribosomal RNA", at positions 958 to 1393 of the family's 1533-position model. Lineage: Bacteria; Pseudomonadati; Acidobacteriota. The record is from RNAcentral.
AACGCGAAGAACCUUACCUGGGCUUGAACCGCACAGGACCAGCUCUAGAAAUAGAGCCUUCCCGCAAGGGACCUGUGUAGAGGUGCUGCAUGGCUGUCGUCAGCUCGUGCCGUGAGGUGUUGGGUUAAGUCCCGCAACGAGCGCAACCCUUACUCGUAGUUGCCACCCGCAAGGGGGAACUCUACGAGGACUGCUCCGGAUAACGGAGAGGAAGGUGGGGAUGAGGUCAAGUCAGCAUGGCCUUUAUGUCCAGGGCGACACACGUGUUACAAUGCGCGCCACAAUGCGUCGCGAACCCGCGAGGGGGAGCUAAUCGCAAAAAAGCGCGCUCAGUUCGGAUUGCAGUCUGCAACUCGACUGCAUGAAGCUGGAAUCGCUAGUAAUGGCGUAUCAGAACGACGCCGUGAAUACGUUCCCGGGUCUUGUACACACGC